Molecule: ribosomal RNA, 397 nt
Filed under: uncultured bacterium
Lineage: Bacteria
Description: partial 16S ribosomal RNA
Rfam family: Bacterial small subunit ribosomal RNA
Source: RNAcentral
CUACGUAGGGGGCGAGCGUUGUCCGGAAUGAUUGGGCGUAAAGGGCGCGUAGGCGGCCCGGUAAGUCUGGAGUGAAAGUCCUGUUUUUAAGAUGGGAAUUGCUUUGGAUACUGUCGGGCUUGAGUGCAGGAGAGGUAAGUGGAAUUCCCAGUGUAGCGGUGAAAUGCGUAGAGAUUGGGAGGAACACCAGUGGCGAAGGCGACUUACUGGACUGUAACUGACGCUGAGGCGCGAAAGUGUGGGGAGCAAACAGGAUUAGAUACCCUGGUAGUCCACACUGUAAACGAUGAAUGCUAGGUGUAAGAGGUAUCGACCCCUUUUGUGCCGGAGUUAACACAAUAAGCAUUCCGCCUGGGGAGUACGGCCGCAAGGUUGAAACUCAAAGGAAUUGACGGGG